This 849-nucleotide ribosomal RNA is filed under the name Bulbithecium borodinense. Its description in RNAcentral is "eukaryotic LSU rRNA". It matches the Rfam family "Eukaryotic large subunit ribosomal RNA", at positions 51 to 936 of the family's 3401-position model. Lineage: Eukaryota; Fungi; Ascomycota; Sordariomycetes; Hypocreales; Bionectriaceae. The record is from RNAcentral.
CGGAGGAAAAGAAACCAACAGGGAUUGCCUCAGUAACGGCGAGUGAAGCGGCAACAGCUCAAAUUUGAAAUCUGGCCCCAGGCCCGAGUUGUAAUUUGCAGAGGAUGCUUCUGGCGACGUGCCUUCCAAGUUCCCUGGAACGGGACGCCAUAGAGGGUGAGAGCCCCGUACGGUAGUGCACCUAGCCUCUGUGAAGCUCCUUCGACGAGUCGAGUAGUUUGGGAAUGCUGCUCUAAAUGGGAGGUAUACGUCUUCUAAAGCUAAAUACCGGCUAGAGACCGAUAGCGCACAAGUAGAGUGAUCGAAAGAUGAAAAGCACUUUGAAAAGAGGGUUAAACAGUACGUGAAAUUGCUGAAAGGGAAGCGCUUAUGACCAGACUUGGGCCGGUGAAUCACCCGUCGUUCUCGGCGGUGCACUUUGCCGGCUCAGGCCAGCAUCAGUUCGCUCCGGGGGAUAAAGGCUUCGGGAAAGUAGCUCCCUCGGGAGUGUUAUAGACCGUUGCGCAAUACCUGGGGCGGACUGAGGUACGCGUUCUGCAAGGAUGCUGGCGUAAUGGUCAUCAGUGACCCGUCUUGAAACACGGACCAAGGAGUCGUCUUCGUAUGCGAGUGUUCGGGUGUCAAACCCCUACGCGUAAUGAAAGUGAACGUAGGAGAGAGCUUCGGCGCAUCUCCGACCGAUCCUGAUGUUCUCGGAUGGAUUUGAGUAAGAGCAUACGGGGCCGGACCCGAAAGAAGGUGAACUAUGCCUGUAUAGGGUGAAGCCAGGGGAAACUCUGGUGGAGGCUCGCAGCGGUUCUGACGUGCAAAUCGAUCGUCAAAUAUGGGCAUGGGGGCGAAAGACUAAUC